CUAACCUCCACAGCAAUGCUGGGAGGAAUUACUAUGACCCCCCGCUCUACAAAUAAUGAAGCCAGGAGCCCGAAGGUGUGAAACCAGCCACAUUCACACAGCUGCUUAAGGGGCAGAACUGAAACUGGAACACAGGAACUGUAGCUAUCAAAGCCCAUUUUUAUUUUAAUCAAUAUGUUAUACCAUUUCCCUGGAGAAGCAAGUCAGAAUCACUUGAUUUUUGGAAAAUGCAAGACAUGCAGUAGACAUAUGGAGAAGUAGGUGACAUAGACCUAUAUGAAGCUUUGGCAGUUCAAAGGGUCAGAGAGACCCCUCAAAGAAAGAUACUGGCCUUGUUGAACAGCUGGACUGACAGGCCCAAGUGAAUGAACACCCAUGCCCCUGGAAACUGCAUCAGAGGAGAAAACAGAGAAACUUCCUUUGAGCCUGACUGGGUAUUCAGUGACCAUCAGAUCAUUUCAUUUGGAUUGUUGCUGAGGAAUUGUUGCAACCUAUGGACUACAAGUAUAUUUCCCUUCACCUGUGAGUUCAUGUGUGUUUGGUAUCUGGGUCUCACCAAGGAGAAUGCACAGGAGACAGGAUUUUUUUUUUUUUUAAAGUAGAGUAACUUUUGCACGUCUUUUCUUUUGCUCUAUCCACAAAUGUUGAAGAAGUCCUAGAGGUUUAGAAUGAAAACAGCCUGAGUCAUCCACUACCAAAACACCCUCUAAGGUUGUUAAAUUGAUAAGAAAGGAACUUCCAUGCUUUAGGCUACUGAAAUUGUGUUGAUUUAUUACAACAACUGCCAUAGUUACCUUAACUGGUAAAUUCACAGAUUUGUUGGAAUCCUGACCAAACUGGAAAAGUGGCAGUAACCAUGGAAAAGUCAAAGACAAAAUGACAGCCAAAUCACACCAGUAAAUAAGUGGAGUGAAGACACGUCUAUUUUCACAGCUGAACACUGGAAAUUGCAAAUUUGAUUGCCACUGGCAUUGGAUGCUGGAACUGCUUCUGUUUUUACUGACACUAGCAUACCGGGAUACUUCGAAGUUGCUGUAGUCUCUGCAAUAUUGAGUGUUGGAAGGUGCUAGAAAAUGAGUGUCUGUCUUUUUUGUCUUUUGUACUGGAAGGCAAUCACCUAGACCUAUGCUGGAGAGUCAUCCUACAAGGUCAUUCAAAUGUACAAUAAACUGGCAUGUGUAUUAGUUACUUAUUAUAGUACAAUAAGUUAAUCACAAAUAUGAAUGACUAAAACAAAAAAUGUUUAGUAUCUUGCAGUUUCUCUGGUCAGGAAUGUAUUGACAGCUUAACUGAGUGGUUCUAGCUCAAGGUCUUUCAUGAAGGACCUGGUAGGGGCUGCAGGCAUCUGCUGUCUUGACAGGAGCUGGGGAAUUUGCUUACACGGUGACCCACUCACAUGGCCAUUGGAAGGAGGCACCAAUUUCCUGCCACAUGGGCCUCUUCGUAGGACUACAUUUGUGUUAUCAUGAUGUAGCAGCUGGCUUCUCCAGCGUGAGUAACGUAAGGGGGAGGAAGACAGGCAGAAGCCACGAUUUUUGUUAUAACUUAGCCUCAUAAACUACAUGUCAUCACUUCUGUCAUAUUUAUUGAUCACAUAAAGCAACAAUGAUAUAAAGAAGAAGAGUAGAGUUUAUUUCAUCACUUACAUUUCAAUUUUGGCUACUCAAUUUUAAUCAUAGAGUCUACAAUAGGGGUUUACUUUAUUAAUCCAAGUAGUACCAAAUAUUACUCUGAGUUUGCUUAAUUAAUAUCCCUAUGAAUUCCUGGGGUUUCAGUCCACUUUGGGAAGAGGCUAGUUUGUUUUCAUAUCUUAAAAGUGAGUAAUAUCAGCAUUGUUGGUAAUUCUAUACCUUCAUAUUCCCAAAGUAGUAUCAAGCAAGUACAUGGUAAGAAUGAGCAUGAGAAGUUGAUGCUGUUCAGUUAUCUGGAUAGCAGGCUAAGCAUUAUUGAUAGAAAAAUCUGAAGCUAUACUCAGAAAACUCAGAACUUCAUGGCAACUUUUUUUUUUAAUUAAAAUACAGUUCUUAAGGUUUCAAGGUUUUAUUUCUGUUUUUGUCAAAAAAAAACUGUUCUUUCAGAGACCAAUAGUUAGAGGAAGAAACAAAUUCUAUGGACCUCUGGUACAAUUUCCCAAUCUGUGAGCUACCAGACCUGAGUGUUUUGGUAAGAGGUCCACAAAAUCAAAUAUAGCAUUCCAUUGUCUGCAGACCAGUUAAUGACUGGAUAGUAUUUUAAUAUAUGUCAUAUGUACAAAUACAAAAAUAUCCUCCAAAAUGGGAAGAUUGGGAACACAAAUUAGAGCCAUCAAAAAUGCACAUUUUUCCAAUUCCAGGUGACUGAUUAAUUUGUAAAUGGAUUCAACCAUACUCUUUGGGUUUCAAUUUUGUACAAAGCAAUGCACACAAAUACAUAUGUAUCAACCAACAAUUAGGAUGUACAUUUUGUGUCUUAAAUAUCCUGUCAUUGAUAUUUGAGUGGAGUUUUAUUGGGAUCUAAUUGUAUCUACUUUCUGCAGGAGACAAAUUAGUUCAUACCUUAUCUUGACUUAUAGAGGAAUUACUUUUUCAACAGUUUGGAGAGGUGUACAAUUUACCAUACCUUCUUACCUGUAUUAUCUUAGUUUUACGGUGAAUAAUAGCAACAAGAUAUUUUGAUCGGAAAAAUCCUGGUAUUUACUACUGAAGUAGUGGUGAAAUAAAAUGACAAACAUUCCUUAUCUGAUAAAAAUAUAUGCAAACCAGCUUUUGUCUUAACCAGUAGAAUAAUAAGAAAUAGAUUAGUUCCCUUCUCCAUUUUCUGUAGCCUUAUAUUUGUUUACCUACGCAUGAUGAAAAGCAGAUUACUUUCUGAUUACACUGAAGGGUUAUUCAUGUUAUUUGGGGUAUUAUAUUUUUAGGAUUAUGUAUUAUUACAUUUUAUUGUAAAAACAUAUGCUGUAGUCUUAUGGAAUAAUAAAGUAAUGACUAUGUCAUAAAGAAAUAAUGUAAACAUAGACUUAAUUUCUUGGCAAUAUUUUAUAACAAGUAUUUC
Molecule: long non-coding RNA, 3030 nt
Organism: Pan troglodytes (chimpanzee)
Lineage: Eukaryota; Metazoa; Chordata; Mammalia; Primates; Hominidae
Source: Ensembl